UCCUCGAUGGUGUAAUGGUCAACAUCGGUCGCUCUCACCGACCAGCUCUGGGUUCGAUUCCCAGUCGGGGAG
Molecule: non-coding RNA, 72 nt
Organism: Exophiala dermatitidis NIH/UT8656
Lineage: Eukaryota; Fungi; Ascomycota; Eurotiomycetes; Chaetothyriales; Herpotrichiellaceae
Source: the annotation of a RefSeq genome assembly